CUGGCAUUCCAGACGGAUGUGCAUGCUCUUUAUUUCCUUUCUGGUGAUGGGUUCCCAAAACAUACCUCCCCCUGAAUUUGGCCAUGCCCAUUUUCCAGAGUUUGGGGGCUAAAACAAGAAAAGGCAUUCCAGAAGGGUAGCAAGACCUAUCACAUGCUGACAAAGGAUGGCAGAGGGGACAAUAGGAGGAAACUGUGAGACAGGCUAGCUGAUGGCUGUCCUGGCAGGAGCUUGGCCUCUGGCCAAGCUCCAUCUUUUUUCUCCAUCACCUCUCUGACCUGUGUGGUAUUAAAUGUAGAUCUCUGGACUGGUAAAAGCCUUCGGAAGGGUCCUUUGAUCAGAGCUUAGCUGUGGCUCAUGGAAAAUUAAUAAAGACUCACUCCUGCCACCUCAUAUCUCUAAUUUGACUCCGUCAUCCCCCUCAUGGUAUCUAAAACUUCUAUCCUGUCUCUAUCUUCCUACCUUAAAGCUUCUCUCCCCUCUGAGGAAGCUUUAUGUUAGAAAAAAUACUGUGUAUUGGUUCCAAGGCAGAAGAGUGGUAAGGGCUAGGCAAUUGGGGGUUAAGUGACUUACCCAGGAUCACACAGCUCUGUAGCCUAGCUUUCUAACACUUACUACCUGUGUUUCCUUGGGCACACAUCCUUUUCCUUCUCUCUGACCCAAAUUGCUAUUUUCUUCAUACG
This is a long non-coding RNA of Monodelphis domestica (gray short-tailed opossum), 683 nucleotides long. RefSeq lists it as uncharacterized. The record is from RefSeq and is a predicted model, not a curated record. Lineage: Eukaryota; Metazoa; Chordata; Mammalia; Didelphimorphia; Didelphidae.